CGAUGUGCGGCGCGCCUACACAUGCAAGUCGAACGAGAAAGUGGAGCAAUCCAUGAGUAAAGUGGCGACCGGGUGACUUUACGUGACUAACCUACCCUAGAGUGGGGGAUAACCUCCCCUAACCGGGGCUAAUACCGCAUAACAUCACGAGGGGAAGAUCCUUGUGAUCAAAGGAGCAAUUCGCUCAAGGAGGGGGUCGCGGCUGAUUAGCUAGUUGGUGGGGUAACGGCCCACCAAGGCGAAGAUCAGUAGCCGGCCUGAGAGGGCGCACGGCCACACUGGAACUGAAACACGGUCCAGACUCCUACGGGAGGCAGCAGUGGGGAAUUUUGCGCAAUGGGGGAAACCCUGACGCAGCAACGCCGCGUGGAGGAUGAAGUCCCUUGGGAUGUAAACUCCUUUCGAUCGGGACGAUAAUGACGGUACCGGAAGAAGAAGCACCGGCUAACUCUGUGCCAGCAGCCGCGGUAAUACAGAGGG
RNAcentral lists this ribosomal RNA (480 nucleotides) under uncultured bacterium. RNAcentral's name for it is "bacterial SSU rRNA". It matches the Rfam family "Bacterial small subunit ribosomal RNA", at positions 39 to 532 of the family's 1533-position model. The record is from RNAcentral.